UAGUUCAGCUGGUUAGAAUGCCGCCCUGUCACGGCGGAGGUCGCGGGUUCGAGUCCCG
Molecule: transfer RNA, 58 nt
Filed under: Pedobacter sp.
Lineage: Bacteria; Pseudomonadati; Bacteroidota; Sphingobacteriia; Sphingobacteriales; Sphingobacteriaceae
Description: tRNA-Asp
Rfam family: tRNA
About the family: Transfer RNA (tRNA) molecules are approximately 80 nucleotides in length. Their secondary structure includes four short double-helical elements and three loops (D, anti-codon, and T loops).
Source: RNAcentral